GACGAACGCUGGCGGCGUGCUUAACACAUGCAAGUCGAACGGAAAGGCCCUGCUUUUGUGGGGUGCUCGAGUGGCGAACGGGUGAGUAACACGUGAGUAACCUGCCCUUGACUUUGGGAUAACUUCAGGAAACUGGGGCUAAUACCGGAUAGGAGCUCCUGCUGCAUGGUGGGGGUUGGAAAGUUUCGGCGGUUGGGGAUGGACUCGCGGCUUAUCAGCUUGUUGGUGGGGUAGUGGCUUACCAAGGCUUUGACGGGUAGCCGGCCUGAGAGGGUGACCGGCCACAUUGGGACUGAGAUACGGCCCAGACUCCUACGGGAGGCCGCAGUGGGGAAUCUUGCACCAUGGGCGGAAGCCUGAUGCAGCAACGCCGCGUGCGGGAUGACGGCCUUCGGGUUGUAAACCGCUUUCGCCUGUGACGAAGCGUGAGUGACGGUAAUGGGUAAAGAAGCACCGGCUCCCUACGUG
RNAcentral lists this ribosomal RNA (468 nucleotides) under uncultured bacterium. RNAcentral describes it as "partial 16S ribosomal RNA". It matches the Rfam family "Bacterial small subunit ribosomal RNA", at positions 28 to 507 of the family's 1533-position model. The record is from RNAcentral.